Molecule: transfer RNA, 66 nt
Filed under: Schistosoma japonicum
Lineage: Eukaryota; Metazoa; Platyhelminthes; Trematoda; Strigeidida; Schistosomatidae
Description: tRNA-Val
Source: RNAcentral
GGCGUAAUAUUUUAAUUUAAAAUAUUUGUUUUACACACAAAUGAUGGGUAAUUUACUCCGUCGCUA